Molecule: ribosomal RNA, 330 nt
Filed under: Pomatoschistus minutus (sand goby)
Lineage: Eukaryota; Metazoa; Chordata; Actinopteri; Gobiiformes; Gobiidae
Description: partial 12S ribosomal RNA
Rfam family: Bacterial small subunit ribosomal RNA
Source: RNAcentral
UCGCUUGCCAGGGAACUACGAGCCCCAGCUUAAAACCCAAAGGACUUGGCGGUGCUUUAGACCCCCCUAGAGGAGCCUGUUCUAGAACCGAUAACCCCCGUUAAACCUCACCCCCUCUUGUUCUCCCCGCCUAUAUACCGCCGUCGUCAGCUUACCCUAUGAAGGACUAAUAGUGAGCGCAAUUGGUACAACCUAAAACGUCAGGUCGAGGUGUAGCGUAUGAGGGGGGAAGAAAUGGGCUACAUUCACUGGCCCAGUGAAAACGAACGAUGAUUUGAAACACCUAUCCGAAGGAGGAUUUAGCAGUAAGAGGGCAAUAGAGUGCCCCUC